Molecule: ribosomal RNA, 433 nt
Filed under: uncultured bacterium
Lineage: Bacteria
Description: partial 16S ribosomal RNA
Rfam family: Bacterial small subunit ribosomal RNA
Source: RNAcentral
AACGAACGCUGGCGGCAGGCCUAACACAUGCAAGUCGAGCGAGGACUUCGGUCCUAGCGGCGGACGGGUGAGUAACGCGUGGGAACGUGCCCUUUGCUUCGGAAUAGCCCUGGGAAACUGGGAGUAAUACCGGAUGAGCCCUUUGGGGGAAAGAUUUAUCGGCGAAGGAUCGGCCCGCGUUGGAUUAGGUAGUUGGUGGGGUAAUGGCCUACCAAGCCGACGAUCCAUAGCUGGUUUGAGAGGAUGAUCAGCCACACUGGGACUGAGACACGGCCCAGACUCCUACGGGAGGCAGGAGUGGGGAAUCUUAGACAAUGGGGGAAACCCUGAUCUAGCCAUGCCGCGUGAGCGAUGAAGGCCUUAGGGUUGUAAAGCUCUUUCAGCUGGGAAGAUAAUGACGGUACCAGCAGAAGAAGCCCCGGCUAACUCCGUG